RNAcentral lists this ribosomal RNA (459 nucleotides) under uncultured bacterium. RNAcentral's name for it is "partial 16S ribosomal RNA". It matches the Rfam family "Bacterial small subunit ribosomal RNA", at positions 338 to 795 of the family's 1533-position model. The record is from RNAcentral.
CCUACGGGUGGCAGCAGUGAGGAAUAUUGGUCAAUGGGCGAGAGCCUGAACCAGCCAAGUCGCGCGAGGGAAGACGGCCCUACGGGUUGUAAACCUCUUUUGUCGGGGAGCAAAGAGAGUCACGUGUGACUCAUUGCGAGUACCCGAAGAAAAAGCAUCGGCUAACUCCGUGCCAGCAGCCGCGGUAAUACGGAGGAUGCGAGCGUUAUCCGGAUUUAUUGGGUUUAAAGGGUGCGCAGGCGGAGGUGCAAGUCAGCGGUCAAAUCGCGGGGCUCAACCCCGUACUGCCGUUGAAACUGCAGCCCUUGAGUGCGCGAGAAGUAUGCGGAAUGCGUGGUGUAGCGGUGAAAUGCAUAGAUAUCACGCAGAACUCCGAUUGCGAAGGCAGCAUACCGGCGCGCAACUGACGCUCAUGCACGAAAGCGUGGGUAUCGAACAGGAUUAGAUACCCUUGUAGUC